This 1241-nucleotide ribosomal RNA is filed under the name metagenome. RNAcentral describes it as "SSU rRNA". It matches the Rfam family "Eukaryotic small subunit ribosomal RNA", at positions 528 to 1790 of the family's 1831-position model. The record is from RNAcentral.
AAUCCCUUAUCGAGGAUCAAUUGGAGGGCAAGUCUGGUGCCAGCAGCCGCGGUAAUUCCAGCUCCAAUAGCGUAUAUUAAAGUUGUUGCAGUUAAAAAGCUCGUAGUUGGAUUUGUGGUUUACGCAAGGCUUCCGUCCCUCUUGGGUUUCGGUGUUGCCUGGCGUUGCCAUCCUUGGGUGGAAUCUGUGUGGCAUUAGGUUGUCGUGCAGGGGAUGCCCAUCGUUUACUGUGAAAAAAUUAGAGUGUUCAAAGCAGGCUUAUGCCGUUGAAUAUGUUAGCAUGGAAUAAUAAUAUAGGACCUUGGUACUAUUUUGUUGGUUUGCGCACCGAGGUAAUGAUUAACAGGGUCAACUGGGGAUAUUCGUAUUCCGCUGUCAGAGGUGAAAUUCUUGGAUUUUUGGAAGACGAACUACUGCGAAAGCAUUUAUCAAGGAUGUUUUCAUUAAUCAAGAACGAAAGUUAGGGGAUCGAAGAUGAUUAGAUACCAUCCUAGUCUUAACCAUAAACUACGCCGACAAGGGAUUGGUGGAGUAUCGUUACGUCUCCAUCAGCACCUUAUGAGAAAUCAAAAGUCUUUGGGUUCCGGGGGGAGUAUGGUCGCAAGGCUGAAACUUAAAGAAAUUGACGGAAGGGCACCACCAGGAGUGGAGCCUGCGGCUAAAUUUGACCCAACACGGGAAAACUUACCAGGUCCAGACAUAGUGAGGAUUGACAGAUUGAGAGCUCUUUCUUGAUUCUAUGGGUGGUGGUGCAUGGCCGUUCUUAGUUGGUGAGUGAAUUGUCUGGUUAAUUCCGUUAACGAACGAGACCCCUGCCUGCUAAAUAGCCCAGUGAGUGAUUUUUCACUGACUGUUGGCUUCUUAGAGGGACGUGCAUUCUAUUAGAUGCAGGAAGAUAGGGGCAAUAACAGGUCUGUGAUGCCCUUAGAUGUCCUGGGCCGCACGCGCGCUACACUGAUGAAUUCAACGAGUUUUUUCCUUGGCCGAGAGGCCUGGGCAAUCUUUUGAACGUUCAUCGUGAUAGGGAUAGAUUAUUGCAAUUAUUAAUCUUGAACGAGGAAUUCCUAGUAAACGCAGAUCAUCAAUCUGCAUUGAUUACGUCCCUGCCCUUUGUACACACCGCCCGUCGCACCUACCGACUGAAUGGUCCGGUGAAGCCUCGGGAUUGUGGUCAGUUUGCUUUAUUGCGAGUUGAUUGCGAGAACUUGUCUAAACCUUAUCAUUUAGAGGAAGGUGAAGUC